AUUGAACGCUGGCGGCAUGCUUUACACAUGCAAGUCGGACGGCAGCGGGGUAGUGCUUGCACUACUGCCGGCGAGUGGCGAACGGGUGAGUAAUAUAUUGGAACGUACCGAGUAAUGGGGGAUAACCAAUCGAAAGAUUGGCUAAUACCGCAUACGCUCUGAGGAGGAAAGCAGGGGACCUUCGGGCCUUGCGUUAUUCGAGCGGCCAAUAUCUGAUUAGCUAGUUGGUGGGGUAAGGGCCUACCAAGGCGACGAUCAGUAGCGGGUCUGAGCGGAUGAUCCGCCACACUGGGACUGAGACACGGCCCAGACUCCUACGGGAGGCAGCAGUGGGGAAUUUUGGACAAUGGGCGCAAGCCUGAUCCAGCCAUGCCGCGUGUCUGAAGAAGGCCUUCGGGUUGUAAAGGACUUUUGUUAGGGAAGAAAAAGGAGCGGUUAAUACCCGUUUCUGCUGACGGUACCUAAAGAAUAAGCACCGGCUAACUACGUG
This 490-nucleotide ribosomal RNA is filed under the name uncultured bacterium. RNAcentral's name for it is "partial 16S ribosomal RNA". It matches the Rfam family "Bacterial small subunit ribosomal RNA", at positions 30 to 507 of the family's 1533-position model. The record is from RNAcentral.